GCAGGCUCGUUUUCUUCGAGACUUCAAACUCGGCAUUGGUGGAUGGAUCACAGAAAUCAUUGUGGCAACAUCCAUGACGGGGUAAGGAGACGACGGCUCAACUGCAGGUCAACGGAGCCUGUGGCCGGCGCAGCGCGGCGAGUGAAAGCGGAGGCGGAGGUGGAGCGAUGUACAUCAGGGAGCGGCUCAGUGGCGAGCAAACCAGCAAGGUGGAACUGCGGCAGGGCGAGGUCUGGAUGUGCCACGCGCGAGGCAAAGGCAAGGUCGGCCCGGAAGUGCUGAACGGCAAGCCGCCGGAGCUCGGCAGAUCGGCCAUGGAGGCGAAGUUGCACAGGAGGAGACGCGCCGACGAGAGGUGGUCAGCAAGAUGAGUUCGCGACGGCGGAGACGCGCCAACCAGAGGAAAGCCGAGGUGGUUCGCGACGGCGGAGACGCGCCAACCAGAGGAAAGCCGAGGUGCUCGAGGCGAGCCGGCGUCGUCGUUAGUGGAGGUCGAGUCCGUGUAGAUGUAUCUCUGAUGAAUGAUGGUUUUCUUCUUCGUCUCUUCGCGUGCGCGGCCAAGUGUGUCCAGCUGUAACAGAAGACGACGCUCUUGGCGGCUCACGAUUUGACGUGCCUGUGAAACAAAUUGUAGCAGAAAACGACGCUUCCGGCGGCUCGUGUUUUGACGCGUCGUUCAAACUUUGUUCAAGCUCGAUAGAUGAACUCGUAAUCAAUAUAGAUCCUUCUGUUCUGAUUUUUUUCUCAUGGUGAUGAUGUGGAUCUUUCUGUGUCGGUUCUUCUUCAUCCGGCGAAUCUUCAAACUUCUCGAUCCCUGGUAGAGAUCCCUCCAAGAACACAAUUCCACCGUACGAUCAGCCCCACGGUGGGCGUCAACUGCCGU
RNAcentral lists this long non-coding RNA (883 nucleotides) under Hordeum vulgare. Its description in RNAcentral is "long non-coding RNA (HVUL_LNC000462)". The record is from RNAcentral. Lineage: Eukaryota; Viridiplantae; Streptophyta; Magnoliopsida; Poales; Poaceae.